RNAcentral lists this ribosomal RNA (497 nucleotides) under uncultured bacterium. RNAcentral describes it as "partial 16S ribosomal RNA". It matches the Rfam family "Bacterial small subunit ribosomal RNA", at positions 28 to 507 of the family's 1533-position model. The record is from RNAcentral.
GAUGAACGCUGGCGGCGUGCCUAAUACAUGCAAGUCGAGCGAACGGACGAGAAGCUUGCUUCUCUGAUGUUAGCGGCGGACGGGUGAGUAACACGUGGAUAACCUACCUAUAAGACUGGGAUAACUUCGGGAAACCGUAGCUAAUACCGGAUAAUAUUUUGAACUGCAUGGUUCAAAAGUGAAAGACGGUCUUGCUGUCACUUAUAGAUGGAUCCGCGCUGCAUUAGCUAGUUGGUAAGGUAACGGCUUACCAAGGCAACGAUGCAUAGCCGACCUGAGAGGGUGAUCCGCCACCCCGGAACUGAGGCACCGUCCCGGCUCCUAAGGGAGGCAACAAUAGGGAAAUUUCCGCAAUGGGCGAAAGCCUGACGGAGCAACGCCGCGUGAGUGAUGAAGGUCUUCGGAUCGUAAAACUCUGUUAUUAGGGAAGAACAUAUGUGUAAGUAACUGUGCACAUCUUGACGGUACCUAAUCAGAAAGCCACGGCUAACUACGUG